Gasterosteus aculeatus aculeatus (three-spined stickleback) is the source of this 628-nucleotide long non-coding RNA. The record is from Ensembl. Lineage: Eukaryota; Metazoa; Chordata; Actinopteri; Perciformes; Gasterosteidae.
UCAAACUAGUGCCGCGCAGGACAGACAGGAGUCAGUUCACAAAAAAAAAGAAAAGUGUGCGUUCACGAUUCAACUGUUCAUUCAGUAGCUAUGCCACUCAGGGGGCUGUCCACGGAGGAACUUUUACAAAAGUUGGUGGUGGAAGGAGGAAUCCAAAUUUCAGAAGAGGAGGCUCAGAAAUUUAGAGACAAUGAUGUGGAUGGAGAGACAGUAGACUGCGGACUCACAGAAAAUAUGAUUGCAUAUCUCUUUGACAAGUCUUUCAAAAAGCAGCUAAAAUUCAGAGACUUCACACACCGCAACAAGGAGGUCACCGUUACUUUGGAAGUGGUCAACCCAGAACAACAAACAUGUGAAGCUUCUGUGUCCCCAGCAAACCAGAGGUUGGAAUCUACUUGCCACAGACUGCCUGCAGUCAUUUCCAUUCCACAAUUCCCACAAGAUGUCCAGAGCCGCUUAGAUGCUAAAGAACCGGUCCACAAGGAACAAAAAUGCACGCAUGCAAACUUGUCACCCCGGCACACACCCACUCAAUAACACGUGCACGGAGUGAAGUCAGUGAACCACGUGCAGUGAAUAUAACAUUUUACUCGAGUUGAUGACAACUACACUUGUUACUAUAAAUGUA